This 1510-nucleotide long non-coding RNA is filed under the name Salvia miltiorrhiza (redroot sage). Its description in RNAcentral is "long non-coding RNA (SMIL_LNC001896)". Lineage: Eukaryota; Viridiplantae; Streptophyta; Magnoliopsida; Lamiales; Lamiaceae. The record is from RNAcentral.
CGGACUGCUUCAUCCUCGAGGCAAGUCAUUUUUUCAUCCUCGAGGCACUGAUUUCUCUUGAGAUUGAAUAAUCUGCAAUACCUCUGCUUUGGUGGUGCUAUUCUUUUCGGUUAUAUAUAGACUUGACAGAGUAAUAGUGUGUUUUAUAUAGUUGUCCUUAUUGAAUAAUCUGCAAUACCUCUGCCUUGGUGGUGCUAUUCUUUCCAAUUAUAGACUUCACAGAGUUAUAGUCUGCUUUAUGUAGUUGUCCUUAUUUUCUACUUCCUCAUGCAAUUAGUUACUAAUUUUCACUUUGAGAGAUGCUUAUUUUUAUCUUAGGAGUUACUAAACAUUUUCAAUUCGUCAGCCUCUUCUAAAUUUUAGAUUAUAGCUGCUAAAUGAUUUUAUUGUUGAGAGAAUGUCAAUCCUUCAACAUCAGAAUGUUCAUGGCUGAUAUAGCUCUUCCUUUGUAAUUAUUUAGUCAUAACCCGGCUCCUAUUAACUAGUUUUCUGUCUUGGUGAUAAUAAUAAUAAUGUUAGGAGCUCUUAAAUCUAAGGGAUUUUAUAGUUAUGUUACUCUGCUCUUUAUUGACUCAAUACAUUUUUCAGGCUUUGUAUUGGCUUGUCAUCUAGGUGUUUUAAUAAUCUCAUACUUGCAUUUCUUUGUGUGGUGGCUCUGGUUUUCUUUUUCUGUCAACUGUCAGAGUUGAGGGGUAUUUCUAAAAAUUUCUGGAAUGUAGUCAUAGCUUUUCACUUUCUUAUAUACCACAAGAUGCCUACAUGUAUCAUAGUUCAUAUUUCCUUUGCUUCAUGUUGGUCUAAAUAUGUCAAAAUUAAUGGCUGAAUGCUAAAACGAUGGAUCCUUGUUAUUGGUGCAGACUUAUCUUCAAUCUCUGUAGACUUAACUUAUAUUUGUAUAUUUUUUUUCUUAUGCAGAGCAGGGGAAAGAUUUAGAAGAGAUUUUUUAGUCAAAAGAUUUAAAGAGCUUUCUAGUCAAUUACAGGUGCACCAUAUUUCUCAUAUAUAUUUAGGUGAAAUAUUCUCAAUUAUGUACACUUGCUACCUUAUCUGUCAUGUUUAUAUAUUGGGGUUCAAUCUGAAUACAUCAAAGAAAAACCGAGUGAUCCAACUGCUAUUUGUUUGAAUAUAUAUUUUUGCAUUUCAUUGACCAGGUUUAGAUCUACAAGAUUUCUUUGUUAUUCCUAGAAACACAUGCUUACUAAGUUCAAUUUUCACUCUUAUUCAAUUAUUUAGUAUCCUGUUGGAAUAACUACGAUUCUAAUGGGGUUUUCUCUUGCAAAUUUUAGGUGAAAGCUAAUGACGAUUUGGAUUGAUGAGAAGCUGAAUAGCUAGUGGAGCCUCGAGGUCCCAUUGUAAAACAGUUGGUACCAAAGAGAACAUAUUCCAAAACAGUUGAUAUAAUAUACACUAUGUAAUAAGUUUUUUUUACUCAUGAUUGAGUUCCUUCACCAGAAUAUUCCUUGGUGAUGUCUGAAAUUUCAGAUUUGAAAUAAAGCAUUGUUAUAUUGGG